ACUUACUUCUCCUAUGUUGCAAGCACUAACUUCAACUUUCUAUAACUCCUUUGUCCUAAUAUAGAAUUCAUCAAGCAAUAUGUAAAAAGUAUAGGCAAAAAAGUGCAUUCUCUAAUUCUAAUUGCAGAGCCUUUAUUACUUCCUAUACAUGGUACAUUACAUCUAAAAGAGUGACAAUAGGUAUAAAACCAAUACCUUAACUUUGAGCACCUAUAUCUCUGUCAUAAAAACUCCAAAUUACUCAAAAUUU
RNAcentral lists this long non-coding RNA (250 nucleotides) under Physcomitrium patens. RNAcentral describes it as "long non-coding RNA (PPAT_LNC007478)". The record is from RNAcentral. Lineage: Eukaryota; Viridiplantae; Streptophyta; Bryopsida; Funariales; Funariaceae.